RNAcentral lists this ribosomal RNA (661 nucleotides) under uncultured euryarchaeote. Its description in RNAcentral is "bacterial SSU rRNA". It matches the Rfam family "Archaeal small subunit ribosomal RNA", at positions 217 to 879 of the family's 1478-position model. The record is from RNAcentral. Lineage: Archaea; Methanobacteriati; Methanobacteriota.
GCGGCCGAUUAGGUAGUUGCUGGGGUAACGUCCCAACAAGCCGAUAAUCGGUACGGGUUGUGAGAGCAAGAGCCCGGAGAUGGAUUCUGAGACACGAAUCCAGGUCCUACGGGGCGCAGCAGGCGCGAAAACUUUACACUGCGCGAAAGCGCGAUAAGGGGACCUCGAGUGCGUGCGCAAUGCGUACGCUUUUCAGAUGCCUAAAAAGCAUCUGGAAUAAGGGCCGGGCAAGACCGGUGCCAGCCGCCGCGGUAACACCGGCGGCUCAAGUGGUGGCCGCUAUUAUUGGGCUUAAAGGGUCCGUAGCCGGACCAGUUAGUCCCUUGGGAAAUCUUACGGCUUAACCGUAAGGCUGCCAAUGGAUACUGCUGGUCUUGGGACCGGGAGAGGCAAGAGGUACCUCAGGGGUAGGAGUGAAAUCCUGUAAUCCUUGAGGGACCGCCAGUGGCGAAGGCGUCUUGCUAGAACGGGUCCGACGGUGAGGGACGAAAGCUAGGGGCACGAACCGGAUUAGAUACCCGGGUAGUCCUAGCCGUAAACGAUGCGAGUUAGGUGUCACGUGGAUUGCGAAUCCAUGUGGUGCCGAAGGGAAACCGUGAAGCUCGCCGCCUGGGAAGUACGGCCGCAAGGCUGAAACUUAAAGGAAUUGGCGGGGGAGCAC